Molecule: transfer RNA, 84 nt
Filed under: Caenorhabditis brenneri
Lineage: Eukaryota; Metazoa; Nematoda; Chromadorea; Rhabditida; Rhabditidae
Description: tRNA-Leu (CAG) (tRNA-Leu-CAG-3-1)
Rfam family: tRNA
About the family: Transfer RNA (tRNA) molecules are approximately 80 nucleotides in length. Their secondary structure includes four short double-helical elements and three loops (D, anti-codon, and T loops). Further hydrogen bonds mediate the characteristic L-shaped molecular structure. tRNAs have two regions of fundamental functional importance: the anti-codon, which is responsible for specific mRNA codon recognition, and the 3' end, to which the tRNAs corresponding amino acid is attached (by aminoacyl-tRNA synthetases). tRNAs cope with the degeneracy of the genetic code in two manners: having more than one tRNA (with a specific anti-codon) for a particular amino acid; and 'wobble' base-pairing, i.e. permitting non-standard base-pairing at the 3rd anti-codon position.
Source: Rfam by way of RNAcentral
GUCAUUCUGGCCGAGUGGUCUAAGGCGCUGCGUUCAGGUCGCAGUCCUCUCAGGAGGGCGCAGGUUCGAACCCUGCGAAUGACA